RNAcentral lists this ribosomal RNA (253 nucleotides) under uncultured bacterium. RNAcentral's name for it is "partial 16S ribosomal RNA". It matches the Rfam family "Bacterial small subunit ribosomal RNA", at positions 524 to 776 of the family's 1533-position model. The record is from RNAcentral.
UACAGAGGGUGCAAGCGUUAAUCGGAAUUACUGGGCGUAAAGCGUGCGUAGUCGGUUAUCUAAGUCGGGUGUGAAAUCCCCGGGCUCAACCUGGGAAUGGCAAUGGAUACUGGGCAGCUAGAGUGUGUCAGAGGAUGGUGGAAUUCCCGGUGUAGCGGUGAAAUGCGUAGAGAUCGGGAGGAACAUCAGUGGCGAAGGCGGCCAUCUGGGACAACACUGACGCUGAAGCACGAAAGCGUGGGGAGCAAACGGG